Molecule: ribosomal RNA, 508 nt
Filed under: uncultured archaeon
Lineage: Archaea
Description: bacterial SSU rRNA
Rfam family: Archaeal small subunit ribosomal RNA
Source: RNAcentral
GAUGGGUCUGCGGCCUAUCAGGUAGUAGUGGGUGUAACGUACCUACUAGCCAGCGACGGGUAAGGGUUGUGAGAGCAAGAUCCCUGAGAUGGAUUCUGAGACAUGAAUCCAGGCCCUACGGGGUGCAGCAGGCGCGAAAACUUUACACUGCGGGAAACCGCGAUAAGGGGACCCCGAGUGCCAGUACCUAGUACUGGCUGUCCAGCUGUCUAAAUAACAGUUGUUAGCAAGGGCCGGGCAAGACCGGUGCCAGCCGCCGCGGUAACACCGGCGGCCCGAGUGGUAACCGCUUUUAUUGGGUUUAAAGGGUCCGUAGCCGGCUUAUUAAGUCUUUUGGGAAAUCUGGCGGCUCAAUCGUCAGGCGUCCAAGAGAUACUGGUAGGCUUGGGACCGGGAGAGGUGGGAGGUACUCCAGGGGUAGGGGUGAAAUCUCGUAAUCCUUGGGGGACCACCGAUGGCGAAGGCAUCCCACCAGAACGGGUCCGACGGUGAGGGACGAAAGCUGGGG